Haliotis rufescens (red abalone) is the source of this 83-nucleotide non-coding RNA. The record is from the annotation of a RefSeq genome assembly. NCBI's taxonomy places the organism in Eukaryota, Metazoa, Mollusca, Gastropoda, Lepetellida, Haliotidae.
GCCUCGGUAGCAGUAGGUAGCGCAGUAGGUAGCGCGUCAGUCUCAUAAUCUGAAGGUCGUGAGUUCGAUCCUCACCCGGGGCA